Molecule: transfer RNA, 72 nt
Filed under: Bos taurus (domestic cattle)
Lineage: Eukaryota; Metazoa; Chordata; Mammalia; Artiodactyla; Bovidae
Also listed under: 2 other names
Rfam family: tRNA
About the family: Transfer RNA (tRNA) molecules are approximately 80 nucleotides in length. Their secondary structure includes four short double-helical elements and three loops (D, anti-codon, and T loops).
Source: Rfam by way of RNAcentral
UCCCCAGUGGCUCAGUGGUAAAAGAAUCUGCCUGCAAUGCUGAAGACCUGGGUUCAAUCCUUGGAUGGGGAA